GAGGGUAUAGCUUAGGGGUAGAGUGCGUGCUUAGCAUGCACGAGGUCCUGGGUUCAAUCCCCAGUCCUUCCA
Molecule: transfer RNA, 72 nt
Filed under: Camelus bactrianus (Bactrian camel)
Lineage: Eukaryota; Metazoa; Chordata; Mammalia; Artiodactyla; Camelidae
Also listed under: 3 other names
Rfam family: tRNA
About the family: Transfer RNA (tRNA) molecules are approximately 80 nucleotides in length. Their secondary structure includes four short double-helical elements and three loops (D, anti-codon, and T loops).
Source: Rfam by way of RNAcentral